RNAcentral lists this transfer RNA (55 nucleotides) under Heterakis dispar. RNAcentral describes it as "tRNA-Thr". The record is from RNAcentral. Lineage: Eukaryota; Metazoa; Nematoda; Chromadorea; Rhabditida; Heterakidae.
GUCAUUGUAGUUUAAAUAAAAAUGAGUAAUUUGUAAUUACUAGUUUAGAGUGGCU